This 381-nucleotide unclassified non-coding RNA is filed under the name Hevea brasiliensis (rubber tree). Lineage: Eukaryota; Viridiplantae; Streptophyta; Magnoliopsida; Malpighiales; Euphorbiaceae. The record is from RNAcentral.
CCAAGACUCUAGCAGCAUAUAAAAUGAGAAAUUUUCAUCAAACAAGACUGUUCAAAUCUAUUAAAUUUGAAUUUUAGAACCUCCAAUAAGACCAUAGGCUAAAAAAAGGCACAAAUAUAUAUAUUAAUAAUUAAAAAAAGCACAACAUCAUUCAUAAGAACACCUUCCGAAAUCUGCAAUGCAUAUUUUUUUUUGGUUGGCAGAGAGAUGGAGAUGUAUUCAUAUAUUCAGAGAUCAAUUCAAUGUCUAUCAUAAAGAGACUCUCACUUUCAUAAAUGUACAAGCACAUCUUUAACAGCAGGCACAUUGAAUACUGGACAGAUUGUGAGUUAUGGCACUUUUUCUAGAUAAUUAGUUCCCUUGUUACCAUAUAUUCAGAGU